Molecule: ribosomal RNA, 126 nt
Filed under: Septoriella leuchtmannii
Lineage: Eukaryota; Fungi; Ascomycota; Dothideomycetes; Pleosporales; Phaeosphaeriaceae
Description: partial 28S ribosomal RNA
Rfam family: Eukaryotic large subunit ribosomal RNA (bases 21-126)
Source: RNAcentral
CCAUAAGCCUUUUUAACUUUUGACCUCGGAUCAGGUAGGGAUACCCGCUGAACUUAAGCAUAUCAAUAAGCGGAGGAAAAGAAACCAACAGGGAUUGCCCUAGUAACGGCGAGUGAAGCGGCAACA